ACUGUUCAUGACUUCACCACACAAACUUCCCUCAUGUAUUGGGAGGGACCAAGGGGCUCUCUGGUUCUGCACCUGCGUUAAUUACCACCGGGAGGUGCACACUAGGACCCCAAGGCCUGGGACCAGUCUGGGUCGGGGCAGAGAAGCGGUGGAUGUGGCUCCCGAAGUGUCUUAGGGGCUCCCUUCCCUGUGGCUGUUUCCUGACUGGAUGCAGCAGGGUCAGGCCUUUCACUGUGACGUUUUCUACUCCUUAUUAGAGUGGCAGGAGCGUCCCUGUGAGAGGCCUGACCCAGGUGUGGGCCUUGCAGCCAGCCCCGUGUCCAAGGGGCACUCCUGGGAGUGCAGAGGAGGAUUUGUGACAGCCUAGAGGAUAGAGGAAAAGGUGGCUUUGAAAAGGUUUGUGAGCCGCUCCUGGUCCCCUGCUGCUCCGUGAGAAAUCAAACUUCUGGCAAUGACGAAGCAUGAAGCCAGCAUCUUAGGGAGAGGUAGUGACAUAAUUGCACGGUAAGACCAGCCGCCCUGGUCUCGCUGUCUCCUGGCAGGCAGGAGAGGUGUGGAAACAGCCAGGCUCCCCUUAGCAUGGCAGAACUGCUCUGGACUCGGGGAGGUGUGGAUUCGAGGGCGGGAGCUAUGCCUGGCAUACUGGGAGUUGUCAUCUUUGAUUAGCUUCCAGUUUUUUAAUUGCAGGGCGACCGGAUUACAAUCUCAGCCAGCAUGAACAGGGGGUGGCACGCAGUACUGAAGGGGGAAGCCGGGCUGUGCCGGCUUCGCUGUGCAUUCUGGGAGCUGUAGUCUCUUCACCGCUCCUGCCCGUUGUUUCAAGCGCUUCGGGACUACAAUCCCAGUAUUCCCCGGGCUCGGGGGCGGGGCGCAGUUCUCGUGGGAGGAGCGAGGCACCGCGCUCCUGGCCAGGCAAGCUGGAAACGGUAUCUCUUAACGGUUCCCUGCCCCUUGGUGGCAAGGCGGCUGGACUAGAAUCUCAGCAGGCGACAUGCGAGGAGGCGGGCAACCCAGGAGGGUUGGGCAAGGCAGUGUGGACCUCGACGCUUCCACAGCGAUGCUGGCUACUGAUCGCGGGCACCUCUUUGCCAUGGGAAGUUUGUGCUGUGCACUAACAUGUAAUUCAAAUACUGAUGAAAACAAAACUAUUGCACUCCUACCAAAUGGUAACAAUGUGUAUUUUUUUCUUUUUCUAGUUAUAAAAGAAAUGCAUGUUGUUUGAAUAACGGCAGAUCAUAGAGAUCUUUAUGUAGCAGAAGUCUCCCAUGUCUUCCUCUUUGUUCCAAACUCACUCUCUUCUUAGAAGGAAUCAUUAUAGCUUGGUGUUUAUUCUUCUGGAUGUUUUCUGUAAAUUUAUAAAUACACAUAAAUUUGGCCAGGUGCGGUGGCUCAUGUCUGUAACCCCAACACUUUGGGAGGCCGGCGGGGAGGAUCCCUUGAGCUCAGGAGGUUGAGGCUGCAGUGAGCUGUGAUCAUGCCAUUGCACUCCUGUCUGGGCAACAGAGUGAGACCCUGCCUCAAAAAAAAAAAAAAAAAAAAAAAAAAAAAAAAAAAUUAAAAUUUUUUUA
RNAcentral lists this long non-coding RNA (1568 nucleotides) under Rhinopithecus bieti (black snub-nosed monkey). Its description in RNAcentral is "lncRNA (ENSRBIG00000045501.1)". Lineage: Eukaryota; Metazoa; Chordata; Mammalia; Primates; Cercopithecidae. The record is from RNAcentral.